This 325-nucleotide ribosomal RNA is filed under the name uncultured bacterium. RNAcentral's name for it is "bacterial SSU rRNA". It matches the Rfam family "Bacterial small subunit ribosomal RNA", at positions 1002 to 1327 of the family's 1533-position model. The record is from RNAcentral.
UGAAAGUUGGGGGUGCCCGAAAGGGAAUUGGAACACAGGUGCUGCAUGGCUGUCGUCAGCUCGUGUCGUGAGAUGUUGGGUUAAGUCCCGCAACGAGCGCAACCCUUGUCAUUAGUUGCUACAUUCAGUUGGGCACUCUAAUGAGACUGCCGGUGACAAACCGGAGGAAGGUGGGGAUGACGUCAAGUCCUCAUGGCCCUUAUGGGUAGGGCUUCACACGUCAUACAAUGGUCGGUACAGAGGGCUGCCAACCCGCGAGGGGGAGCUAAUCCCAGAAAGCCGAUCGUAGUCCGGAUUGCACUCUGCAACUCGAGUGCAUGAAGUC